RNAcentral lists this ribosomal RNA (253 nucleotides) under uncultured bacterium. RNAcentral describes it as "partial 16S ribosomal RNA". It matches the Rfam family "Bacterial small subunit ribosomal RNA", at positions 524 to 776 of the family's 1533-position model. The record is from RNAcentral.
GACGGAGGGUGCAAGCGUUGUUCGGAAUUACUGGGCGUAAAGCGCGUGUAGGCGGUUCGAUAAGUCGAAUGUGAAAGCCCGAGGCUCAACUUCGGAAGUGCAUUCGAUACUGUCGGGCUUGAGUACGGGAGAGGGAAGCGGAAUUCCUGGUGUAGAGGUGAAAUUCGUAGAUAUCAGGAGGAACACCGGUGGCGAAGGCGGCUUCCUGGACCGAUACUGACGCUGAGACGCGAAAGCGUGGGGAGCAAACAGG